Small nuclear RNA from Erinaceus europaeus (western European hedgehog), 107 nucleotides. The record is from Ensembl. NCBI's taxonomy places the organism in Eukaryota, Metazoa, Chordata, Mammalia, Eulipotyphla, Erinaceidae.
GUGCUCGAUUAGGCAGCACAUAGACUAAAAUUGGAACAACACAGAGAAGAUUAGCAUGGCCCCUGCAGCAGGAUGACAUGCAAAUUCAUGAAGCGCUCCAUAUUUAC